This 9661-nucleotide long non-coding RNA is filed under the name Solanum lycopersicum (tomato). RNAcentral's name for it is "long non-coding RNA (SLYC_LNC000044)". Lineage: Eukaryota; Viridiplantae; Streptophyta; Magnoliopsida; Solanales; Solanaceae. The record is from RNAcentral.
UAGCUUACGGAAUAACAACCAAGACCAGCAGCUCAACAGCAAACCAGAAACCCCCAAAACCACCAGAAAAUCCAUCAACACCAAGCUCCUUCCCUUCCACUUUCUCCCUUUUAUGUGAUUUUCAUUUGUUUAGCAGCGAUUCCGGCAGCAACAAUGACAACUCCGGCGAAUAAUAGUUCAAAUCAGCCUCCAGCGAGCUCCAAAGGCGAACAACAGAGCCAAACAACUCAACUCCGGUGAAAUUUGGUCUUUGAUGGUUUUGGUAAUAAUUUUUUACUCUUUUUGUUUUCUUUAUUUUUUAAUGCAUGUAUAGUUGAAUGGAUUGAUUUUAGCACUUUUGGUGAACUUUAUGUUUUUCCAGUUAAUUCCUUUUUCAAAUUUUCACGCUUUUUACUUCGUUUUACUCGUUGAUUAUUAGUGAAUUAUCAUGUGUUUAGGGUUAUAUUUGUUCAAUUUUUAGUUAUAAUAUUAAUAUUUGUGUUAUGUAGUCUUUUUCAUAUAAAAAAAUACUUUGAUUGCUCCAUUUUGGGAUUGUUUUAAGAUUUUGUGUUAACUCACAUUUUUGCAUUAUGCACGAUUUGUUGUUUUGUUUGUUCAUUAAACAAUUUGGGUCGACUUUAUUAUAUACUUCUUUUAUAUUUAUUUUGCAUCAAAUUUUCAUAUUUUUGGCAUCAUCAGAAAUAUGUCUUCUUAUUGCUUGCUCACUAGUAUAACAAAUUAUUGCUAUUUUAUUGUUGUUGUUUAUAAGUUAAGUUAUAUUAUUAUUUAAUGUUGCAUUUUUUAUUUCUUUGUUAUUUCACUAUGUUAUUUUCUGCCAGCUUUUGUAGUCGAUUCACUUAGUUGGUGGUAUUAUUUAUUCUUAAAUAUUAUCUAAUUUGAAAACAAAUAAUAAGUUUUAUAAGAUAUAUGAUAAAAUGGCCAAUAAAAACUCUGCGUCGGUUUUGGAGGUCUUCCCAAAUUAAAAGAGGGAAAUUUAAUUUAAAUAUAUAUACUUUAUUUAUUAAAAUUGGUAAUAAAAAAAUCUGUCCGUCAAUUUUGGAGGCCUCCCGUGUUAAUACGAUGGAUUUUUAUUUUUAAGUUAUUAUUAUUAAUUUUUAUUUAUAUUUAUUUAGUGCUAACUCUUUUACUAAGUGUCUUUACAGGUACACGAAACUGCUUUUCAAUAAUGUUAUUCGAAUUAAAUUCGAAAUAUAUUCAUUAUGUAUUAUUUUGUAUCUAUUGACGUUAGACAAACUUUAGGUCGAUUUUUACAUUAUUAGUUAAUAAUUUGUGUAUAUUGUAUGCUGAUUGUAUUUGUAUAUUUGUUUGAUAUUCUCCUCAAUUUGAAAAAAUGAAUUCAGUCUGGACCCACAUUUGUGAUUUUCGAAUGGUGCCUAAUACCUGUUGGGUUAUGGGCCUUUUACCCUUCCUAUGUGGAUAAAUAAAAGCCCAAUUUGGACCAACCCAUUUUUUGCUCAUAGGCCCAUUCUUAUGAGGCAAAUAUAAGCCUAUUGAUGUCUUAUUUUCAAAUACACAGAGAGUUUUUUCAGCAGCCAAAAUGAGAAAAAGAGAGCAGUUUUCGCAGUCAAAAUUCAGCCCUAACAGCCAACUUCAAAUUGCGAUUCCUGCUUCGUUUCUUCUCUGAUUGAGCUGAUUUUUGGACAGCAUAUUAUCUUCAUCUCAAUCUUUGAUUAGGAACUGACAGCUUCAGUUUUUCUGUCAUGAACAGUAGCUGCGAAAUUGGUGAUUUUGCUCCUUUAAUUCUCUAGAUUUGGUGCAAUCUUAUUUUGUUGUUGCUCAUUGUUUGGCACUUGUUUUGUGGCCAAUUUUGGAGAAAAAUAUUGUAACUCUUGGUGAUUAUAGUGGAGCUUUUGGUCCAGUGGUUUUUUACUCUUCACAUCGAAGGUUUUUCCACGUAAAUCUUGGUGUCUUGUGUGAUUGGUUUAUUAUAGUCUUGUUAUAUUUGUUUGAUUGAAUUACUUGCUGCCUUACUAUCAUAUUGCUUGUGGUUGUUUGUCUUCUCUUGGUUCAAAUCGAAAAGGGAAAGUAUAGACUUGGGUAUUCUUCCGCUGUUAUCCUGUCAGGCAUUCUUUGUUAGUGCCUUGUCUUUCCCAACAAUACCUUCCCUUCGGAAUAACCUUAACUCUUAUCUUGAAUCUAAUCGUUUCAUAUAUCACUUAAUAAUUUCCUAGUUUUUUCCUAUAAUUAAGUGGUGAAUCCUUUAAAAUUUAUUUAUUCUUAGAACUCUUUUUAAAUUAAAUGAAUUAAUUAUUUUUGUGUCACCAUGACGUUUCUCCCUAUUUGAAUAGAGUAGGGAUGUAAACAGUGAAGAAGGGUAUUUUUGUGGGAAAAGGAUUGUAAGACCCUGAAAAUGAAUUAAGGUGCUUAGAACCUCACAUGUGUCUGAAAAGGUUUAAAUUAUGUUCGUUAAGUUUUUUAUAGUAUGUAUACUUGAUUUGAAGUCAUUUGGAGGUCAAGCGUCCAAGAAUGUCCACGACAUUCAAAAGUUGGUCUUUAGACGUGCUAGUGUAUCCUUGUAUGGUGGCCUUGUUUGUACGUUUUGUUUGAAGCCCAAAAACAGUAGGGAUGAUCCUAGACUUUUAAUAGACAUGUUAAGGAUCAAAACAUCCGGCUACGACUCCCAGAGGACCACCCCUAAGGGCCCCCAAGGAGGACCCAAACAUUGGACAAGGAGGCUGCUCAAUGAAGCAUGCAGCAGCAAGAUUGGGGACCAGCCUCGCAUCGCGCGCCUGUAACUUUGUGUACAUGUCUUAAAGUCCCAAUAAAUAUGGGGGUAUUUUGGUAACAUAGGGAGAUGGUUAAACUGUUUUUAUGACUUAUUUAACCCCUUUCCCAAGCCAAAACCCAAAACCCAUUAAGAAAAUCAAAAUCCUAAAUCUCUCUUCUCUUCCAAAUUCUCUCAAACCUCCAUUGGAGGGAAAACUCAAGGUUCAAGCUAGGGGCUGAUUUUCAUGCUUUAUUCUUCAAUUUUUUGUGGGCUUCUCAUGUAGAAAGGUAUGUUAAUCCUUCAUCCUUUUUUAUCCAUUCAUCUAAGGAGUUCUUGCAAAGAUAAUUCAUGAUAAAAAUUGCAAUCUUUCAAUCUAUCCAUGGGUUCUUUGUCAAAUUGAUUUCAAAAGGAUUCUAAUGAUGAAUUUAUGAUUUUAAGAUGAAUUUUAUCUAAUUCCAUGAAGAACCCAUGAUCUCCCCAAUUUCUCAAAUUGGCCUAUAAUGUUGGUCUUGUGAUCUUUACUCUAUGUUGAUUGAAUUAUGUUUCAAUUAUGUUGAAUUACCUAUAUGUUAUUUAUGUGAAUUGAAUAUAAAUUGAUUAUGGGUGAUCAAUGAUGAUGAAGGUUUAGGGAUUGGGUAAAUUGAUCUAUGUUCCUCUACUUUCUAUAGACUUAAAGAAAUAGUUUACCUAAUGUGAUGUUGAAACCAUGAUGUUUGAAGUAUGAUUUCGUUUAUGUAAUGAUACCUUUAGCAACUGUUAUAUACAUGUAUAGACUUUAAAUUAUGGGAAUUUAUCAAUGAUAAUCAAACUUGGAGGUAUUGUAAGUUGGCCUUAUUCUCUCUACUUUUCUAUAAAUUUGCUAGAUGCUUGACCUUAUAUGACAUUGUGUGGUAUGAUCCACUUAUGGUGGAGGUGUUUACUUCCUUGUCAUUCUAUAUGUGAUGUGAUCAUGUCCUUGGGGUAAAUUGUAUCUUAAAAGUGUGCUUAUGAUGAUCACACAAUGUGAAGUGUUAUGCCUAGUCUACAAUGCUACUUCAUGAUUUAGGUUAUACUGAUGAUUCCUCCUAUAUGUUAAUGAAGAUGUUAGGGUUAUGGGUCUCUACGUUUGAUAUGGUUGAGGUCUAUUGAUGAUUGGUUACUCUUGUAUAGCAUGAACCCUACCUAUGAACCUCUACACGAAUGCGUGGUCUUAAGCAUGAUUAGGAGUCUUAAAUUAAAGUAACAAAGAUAUCUUGUCUCCUAUGUUGUAAUGUGUUUGGUGUGUGGUCUAUAGUCCCUAUUACUCUAUAUGUGAGUUGUCUAUGGUUUAUGUAACUUGAAUGUACAUUGUGGUCUAAGAGGGUGGCUGCGUCAAUGUGAUGUUGAUAGCCAUUGUAUGAUCAUGUUGACCAAUGUACACACACUUACACCUCAUGCAUGUUUACAAGUAGUAUAGGUUGAUGUUGUCUAAUCAAAGGGUAUUCUCAUAUGCACUUGUGUCUAUUACUAUGCAUGUAUAGUGUAUGUCUAUGAAUCAUGAUAUGUAUACCUUAACUAGGAUGACUUGACAGGCGUACUAGUAUGGACAAGGGUAUGGGACCUUGUCUAUGCAUUGCAAAUGUGUGCCUUGAUAGGAUAGUCCUAGGUUGUGAUAUAUGUACAUGAAUAUGAAAGCAUGAAUAAGUUAUGAAUAUGUCUUAUGCAUAAAUGAAAUGAAGUAUGAAUAUGUGUGGUCUAAGGGUGUUUAUGUGAAAGGUUUGCACAUAUAUAUGUAUACACACACAUUAAACAUGUUCAUUAUGCAUGUAUGAUGAUCUAGUCAAUAGAGGGGCUCUCCAAAGGUGUUUUAAAGGGUAUCCUAAACUAGAUGGUGCUUGAAUAUGCUAUGUCCAUGGGAAAGAUUUUCUCGCAUGAAUUAAGUUUAUGAACUCUCAUCUAUGACCUAUGAGUUAAGCAUCUGGCGAGUCAAUCUCCUAAAGAAUACUUUAUUAAAGUAAUAAUAAUAAUAACAAUGCUUUUUUAAUAAAGGAGAGUGAGCUUAAAUAUGAGCGGUGUCCCUUUCCAAUGUAGGAAAGUAGGUUCACCAUAGUCCUCAUGAGGUGGUUAGCCUCAUAUCCCAAAGGGCAUAGAGUGAUAUUUCCAUAUAUGCCUCCAAGUUUCAUAAACUAUGCUUGCCCCAUAGUAUCUAACAAGUGAUAUCACCUAAUAUGCUAGCAUGAUGUUUGUGUUCUACUUUGGCAAGAUAGAUCACCUUCCUUUGGUGUAAGGUUCUAUAACACCAAAUUCCAUGUUUAGCAUCCAUGGUCUAAGUGUCAGUUAAUUCUAUAGUUUCCCUUAAGUAAAAUGGACAAUGGAAGUAAGUAAGGACUCUAACUAGGAUAACCUAAGGGAAGUUACUUAGUGUAGGUGAGGGUAUGUGACUUUACCUAUGCAUUGCAUCAUUAGCUCUUGAGGGGAGUUCUAAGAAGGCGUUCUAUAUGUAUAUAUACAUACAUAUAUGUACAUACAUACACACAUAUAUAUACACAUACAUAUAUACGCACACACACAUACAUACAUACAUACAUAUAUAUAUAUAUACAGAGAGAGAGAAAGAUAUGUCUCUUGUGCAUGACAUUAUGGUAUUAACCUAUUUGUUAUGGUAAUAUGCAUAGUGUGAGUCCUAUGGUAUCUAUUUGAAGUGGUCUCACUCUAUGUACAUGAUGUUGGUCUUAGUGACUAUAUGAAGAAGGUGUUGCUUGGCAUGUAUGUUGUUGACUAUUAUUUUCUAUAUGAAGUAAAUGAUGCUUGUGGCCUCUUUAUAAGUCUACUUAGUAUAUGUGAGGUUAUGGUUCUUCACAUGUACAUUGCACUAGUACGCUUAGAUUGGAAUUAUGACUUUCUCAAAUACAAACAUUUUUGUAGAGUCAAUGCGUCAUUUUCAGAAGGAUCUUUCCAUAACAUUCAAUUUGUUAUAUAAUUAUCCAUAACCAUAGUCUCAUUUGUCCAAGGGAAAUAUGACCCAAAUGCUUGUUUUACAACACAAACAUAACCGAUCACUUUUGACUAAUGUUCAUGUUUAUACAAAAAAAAUUAUUUGAAUAGACAUAUUUUUCAUGAAAAAUCACCAUAUUUUUGGUGAUACUUUUUCAUCAAAGAUUACAAUUCUUUUGAACGAGUAAUUUAAUUUUAUGGUUUUAUGUUAGUCUUAUCAUAUACUAGUAAAGAGAGAUUCAACGACCACAAUAUCAAAUAUACUCCAAGAAUUUUGUGGGUCUAAUAUAAUGCAAGAAUGUCAUUAAAUUUCAUAUCUUGUACUUUGAAAUUUAAAUUAGAUAGUAAGUCUAUAUCACAAGUAAAGAACUCCCCCCCCCCCCCCCCCACACAUUUUAAACAUUUUCUCAAAAAUAUUUUUCAAGUAUUUGAAAUUAGUUUCUACAUAUUCUUUUUCUCCAUACUUUCAAAUUGUUAUGCCAUCAAAAUACAUUGACAACAAGAAACCUUUUUUGGAGAUUUAAUCCAUAUAAACACCCAGUGCAGGCACAAAAUCAUUAUUUCUAUGUCACAGUGUUUUUUCUCCUUUUUAUCACAACUAAACUUACCACUUAGUAUUUGAAAAUACUAAAAAUAAAGGGUCAAUCUAUAGGCAACUUGUUUCUAGUAUAACGAUGAAGUUUUAUAGUCUUCUACUCGUUAACCGAAUGAACCUUAAAUUAUGAUGAAAAUUUUAUAUUCUUCAAAUCAGUUUCACAUUCAAACAGAGUAGCAAACCAAAAAGGUUUUAUAACAAUGAAGUUUUUAUAUUCUUCUACUCGUUAACUGAAUGGACCUUAAAUUCUGAUGAAGUUUUUAUAUUCUUCAAAUCAGUUUCACAUUUAGACAGAGUAGCAAACAAAAAAGGUUUGAAUCUCCAUAAACCUCAAACACAACAUUGUUUCAAGCUAAUGAAGAAGAUUUUAUGUGUUUUGAAUCAUUUAGCCUAAAUAUUCCUGAAUAACAUUUUGCACUCUUCAAGUCAGAGUAUUCAUUUAAAUAGAAUAAUUAACAAACUAGUAAAGUUUCUAUAUUCUUCGAAUCAAUGCACAAUUUGAUUUGUUCAUGGAGUUCUUGUAUUCUUAAAACCAAAGCAUUAAAAAAUAAAAAAAAAUUAGUCUCCAAAAGUAAAACAAUCAAAUUUUACAUUGAGUACAAAACUACAAAGUUUGUUUCUUCCUCUUAACAGAAUACAUAUGAAUAAUAAUAAACAUAUAUCCAGAGAUCUUCAUAUAGUGACAAUCUAUCCUAACAUUUAUGAAAUAAAUUUCAUAACUUAUAAAGGAUUAAUAAAAUAAUAAUAAGGGAAAUAAAAAUAGAAUCAUAUUUUUCCUCUCAUUGAAUCAUAUCUAUUUAUCAGUAAUGAUUCCAUGCAAGUCACUUUUCUUUAUAAUUAUUCCUUUCUUUUCAGUUUUCAUCAUAUUCCAAUUUUCCUUAGAAGACAUUGGAUUUCAACGAGAAACUAAACUCAUGUUUAAAUAUUGUUAGGAUACAACUUUUGUUCAUUUACUUCUUCUCAUAGUUAUAUAAAAUCAAGAAUAUAGGAAAAAUAAUUGAAGUGUUCAUCUUAACCUUAUGCACAAAAUAACUUUCUCAUUGAAAAGAAAACUAAAGAGAUGCAAUGCUUGAAUGUACUUGAGAAGAAAAUACAAAUAAUCUUACCCAUCCAAGGAAAACUUACUAUAGAAAAAAUACUCAAACAUAUUAAAAUAGUAAUAAUUUAUCCCAAGAUUCUUUUAUCAUAUUAUAAAGUAAUUUUACUUUUUAUUUUUUCCAACAAAAAGAACUAAGAAAAUUUAAGUAGUUUCCUUACCAUUGAAAUACUACCAUUAUAGAAAUUUCUUAAACUUGUUAUCUUAUGUUCAGAUUAGCAAACAAGAAAAGAUAAAAGAUGAAAAGAAAAAACAAAGAAAUAUUUGAGUCCAGAGAACCCACUGAACAAGAAAAGAUAAAAGAUGAAAAGAAAAACCAAAAGAAUUGUUUUAGUCCACAUAACCCACUGUGUCUCCUUAAGAAAUUUAAUCCCCUCAAGUUCACGUGAUUGUAGAAUAAUUCCUCCCGAGAUAAAAUGAUUUAACCACUAAAGAAGUAGAGGUACCUGAACUCAAAAAGACAACAACGAAUCACACAUCGACACGAUCGAUCGAUUUUGCUUUGAAAGAAAUGUAUACAUAAGAAGGGACGAAUUUGAUGCAGAAAAAUGAAGGAAGUCUCUCUAUUUAUAGCCUACAAAAGGUAAAGGUCAAAACUCUUUGGAAAAAAGACAACCUUUCAUAAAAGUCACAACACUUUGAAAAAGGCACAACCUUUUAAACGAUCACAACCCUUUAGAAAAGACACAACCAUUCAUAAAGGUCACAACCCUUCGGCAUAGUCACAACCUUUUUGAAGAGUCACACCACUUCAUUUCCUAUUCACUAGUGAUAAAAUCAAGCAUCUUGACCUUUUUAUAAUACUAGAUUCUGAGAACGUUUGUCCCUUAUUAUUAUUAUUAAUUUUUAUAUACUAAAAGAUAAGUAAUUAAAAAGAUGCUUAAAUUAACAAUAGUAGUUUAACCAUUUAUCUUUUAUUCGCUAAAUAAUAACAAAUAUAAUAUGAAGAACAUUAAAUAGAUGAUAUAUCUAGUUAUUUUUUUGUUAUCCUUCUCUCAUUCUCUUUUCUUCUCAUUUUAAAUAGUGUAAUUUACUUCCUAUGAUAAUAUCAAUCUUAGUAAUUGGUUCUUAAAAAGCAUAUUAAUAUUUAAUUCUCAAAGUGUUUUUACAUAAAUAGUGGAGAAUGACUCUUCACAUUGAGCUUUUAAUUUUAAAAAAUUAUGUGUUUGAGAAAUAAUUAACAUUCAAUAAUUAGGCAGAAGAAUAUCACAUUAUCAUAAAUAAAAUAAUAUCUCUAAGUCAAAAGUAGACAUUCUAGUUUGGAAAAUAAUUACUACUAACUAUUUAUGGGUCCAGCUCCAAUCAAUAAUCUAUAUAUGGGAGUUUGACAAUUUUCCAGUUAUAGUUAAAAUUUUACAUCAACAAUAAAUAACUUAUUAUCACAGUAGAUAGACGUUUGAUGCAUAAAAUUUAUAAAUGCUAAAAGAUUUCGUCAAUGUAGUACAUAUGCAAACUUAUGAUAAAAACACUUGGUAUAUUACGAAACACACUUGAAGCCAUUACCAUGAUUAAUAUGUCAAUUAUUUUUAUCAUUAUAUCACAUAUACGUCUUCUUUUUAACCUUAAAAAGUCUGUACACAUGAUUUAUGAAGAGAAAAGAAUAAUACUCUUUUUUUCAUAACAUUACUCUUUGAAUAAUUAAUAUAAAUUGAGCAAUAUAAACUUUUCAAAAUGACUUAUGCUAGAUAUAUGAUCAAUUUGAGGAAUGAAUGUUCCAACAAACAUAUAAUAGACUAAUAAGAUCAAUAAAUUAUACAUAUAAAUAAAAAGUUUAAAUAAAAAUACAACCUCAAAGUCACAUAUAUACUAUAUAGAGUAUGAUCCACUCUUUAUCUCCAAUUAGGUGGGCCAUUUUAUUUUAGUUCAUAUAUAUAUAUAUAUAUAUAUAUAUAUAUGAUUUCUCAUUUAGUCAUUAUUGUCAUUACUCGUAAAUAAUAAUUUCAAAAACGUAUUUUAUACUAAAGUAGAACACUCUAUCGAGAGCCAAAUAAGCAUGUCAAAUGAACUAAUUAAUCUUUCAUAAAUAUGAAUUUCAUCAGUAAUUAAGAUACAUAGUAGAACAUGAAUUGUAUAUUACUAUUUUCAAAAUAUUCUAAUAAAACAAACAAAAUCAUAAGAAAGUACAUCAACAUAUAUAAAAAGAAAAUAUAUAAUACUUAGGACGGACAAAAAGGAGAGGAUAAAAAUAAAAAAUAAUUACUGCACAUACAAAAUGAUUUGCAAAGUUCAUUUUUGCAUGAUAAUCUCUCAUCCUCUUCUUGUCAUUUACAUGAAGAUCAUGCUAGAUAAUUUAUAGAAGUAACUAUGAUGA